Molecule: ribosomal RNA, 493 nt
Filed under: uncultured bacterium
Lineage: Bacteria
Description: partial 16S ribosomal RNA
Rfam family: Bacterial small subunit ribosomal RNA
Source: RNAcentral
GAGUGAACGCUGGCGGUAGGCCUAACACAUGCAAGUCGAACGGCAGCCCAGUAAGAGCUUGCUCUUACGGGUGGCGAGUGGCGGACGGGUGAGGAAUACAUCGGAAUCUACUUUUUCGUGGGGGAUAACGUAGGGAAACUUACGCUAAUACCGCAUACGACCUACGGGUGAAAGCAGGGGAUCUUCGGACCUUGCGCGAUUGAAUGAGCCGAUGUCGGAUUAGCUAGUUGGCGGGGUAAAGGCCCACCAAGGCGACGAUCCGUAGCUGGUCUGAGAGGAUGAUCAGCCACACUGGAACUGAGACACGGUCCAGACUCCUACGGGAGGCAGCAGUGGGGAAUAUUGGACAAUGGGCGCAAGCCUGAUCCAGCCAUACCGCGUGGGUGAAGAAGGCCUUCGGGUUGUAAAGCCCUUUUGUUGGGAAAGAAAAGCAGCAGGUUAAUACCCCGCUGUUCUGACGGUACCCAAAGAAUAAGCACCUGCUAACUUCGUG